Long non-coding RNA from Balaenoptera acutorostrata (minke whale), 1331 nucleotides. RefSeq lists it as uncharacterized. The record is from RefSeq and is a predicted model, not a curated record. The transcript is spliced from 2 exons. NCBI's taxonomy places the organism in Eukaryota, Metazoa, Chordata, Mammalia, Artiodactyla, Balaenopteridae.
GAGUGGGCGCGGGGCGUGGGGGACGUGGCGGCGGGGGCCGAGGGGGCGCCCAAGGCGGUGGGCGCCGGACCCCGCCUCCCAGACCUGCCUCCCAAUUUUCGGUGAGUGGUGUAGCCCUGGGCGGCGUGCAAAGUGUGCGACGGCGGCGCUUACCCCUGCUGCGCGCCUCCUUACCUCCAGCUUCCCGGUUAGCGCGCGCGGGGACCGCCACCCACCCCUCCCUCCCGGCGGCGCGUGCCCGGCAGUCGGUCGUCCGAUGAGAGGUGUUAUGUGAGCGCGAAAAACGAGCAUCGCAAGAGCAAGCAGGCGCCGGCGACUCGAGAGCCGAGCGGUGGUGGCCGGGGCCGCGCGGUCUGCGCCCCCGGAGUCCUCCUGGGCGGGACAGGUGGCGGGCCAGGGCGUCCCGGUUAUACGAGGCCGGGCCGGGGCGCCGCGGGGGGAUGCUCUGGAACAGACGGAAAAGUAGUUUAUUGAACACGAAUUUGUUUGAGAAUUGUUUAAAGACUUUCAAGAGUCCCACCCCAGCCCUGUCCCAUAUGAGGAUAGGGUGAAGAGCAGUGACACCAAGUUCUCAACGACUCGGCCGCGGCUCACUUUUCCUGGGACCUUGGUUGAGCCUCCCGGUUGAGCCCUGCGCGUGUCUGCUUGGGUACAAUUCAUUCAUUCAGUCAAUAAAAGUUUGGUCCGUGCGGCCCACCUUGGGCCCAGACACUGUUAACCAUUCAACGGGACUGCUGCAAUCCCCCGCUUCUCCUCAGUUUGCUCAACUCAAAGUAAGAAAAGUUGUGACAGAUGAAGAUGUCAGCUAUUAUUGUUCUUGGCCCCAUCCAGUACACCUCUACCCUCCUUCUACAAGGCCUCACUUUAUGGACCUGAAAGACAGCGGAGGGCAAUUCAAAGCCAGCAGAGAACACUUGGAAUUAAGAACAGGAAGCGAAAUCUUCACGCCAGACCCUCAUGAUCUGCAUCUGCUACCUCGCCUGACUGCGGGUCUCAGACUCGCUCGAACUCUGCAGAAAAGUUGCUGUGCUUGCCCUUUCCUCCUCACAUCCAAAUAAGCCAGGUCUUGAGCACACUCUGGAUAUGGCCUCUCCUUCUUACACAAAAAUACACCUUCUUUCGACAAAAACUCAAAGGAACUACCGUUCGUCUAAACAAAAGCCGAUAAAAAUACUGACCCUAUAGACGGGAAUGUUCUCCUAAGCAAAUUCGACAGUAAGGCUGUUUGAAAAGAUCAUGACACAAUCAUUCACCAACUAGAUUAGAAACUACCUAAAGACGGGGCCCAAGUUUUAUACCUUUAUGUAUUAAAUAAAAACCUGUUGGUUGAA